This 176-nucleotide non-coding RNA is filed under the name Deltaproteobacteria bacterium. RNAcentral's name for it is "6S RNA". It matches the Rfam family "6S / SsrS RNA". Rfam says of the family: E. coli 6S RNA was the first non coding RNA to be sequenced, but its function was unknown until recently. Lineage: Bacteria; Pseudomonadati; Myxococcota; Myxococcia. The record is from RNAcentral.
CACCGACGGUCUGAUGCGAGACCCGAGGCAACACUAUCUCCUACAAAUGCUAUCCAGGGAUCUGCCUCUGAUCUGGGAGUGCACGCCCGCUCGUCGGGAAGCCCAAAGGAUUACUGUGGAGCCCACCUACGCAAACGCGUAGGGGAUGGAAAGCCUCACGGUCGGACGGUCGUGCU